RNAcentral lists this non-coding RNA (802 nucleotides) under Globitermes globosus. The record is from RNAcentral. Lineage: Eukaryota; Metazoa; Arthropoda; Insecta; Blattodea; Termitidae.
AAGAAGUUUUAUUCUUGCUUUGUCGUUCAAUUUUUGUUUGUUUUAUAUGUGAGUUUUUGCGUGGUUAUUAGGUGGAUUCUAGAUGGAUCAUCGUUGUUGAUUUGUUGUUCUCAUUAUUUAUUAUUGGUUGAUCAAGUAGUUUUGUAUUCAGCAAUACAUUUAGUUUCGGUUAAAUUUUGUGCCAGCAGCCGCGGUUAUACCUUGGAAGCGUUUGAAUGUGUUUGGCUGUGGUAGUUGUAUUUUAUUUUUGUUGACUGAGUUUUGGUAGUUAUUGGGUGAAAUUUUUUUUGUUAUUGUUGGUCUUUUAUUUGUUUGGAGGCUAUGAAAUUCUUUUUGUAAACUAGGAUUAGAUACCCUAUUAUUUUAGAAUGUUAAGUUUUGUUUGCUUGAGUAGUAUUAGUUAUGUUCUUGAAACUUAAAGAAUUUGGCGGUAUCUCAUUCCGUCCAGAGGAAUCUGUCUCGUUAUCGAUAGUCCACGUUGGACCUUACUUAGUUGAUAUGGUUUGUAUACCGCCGUUUAUUGAUUAUCUUUUUAGGGUUUAUGUAAUUUUCUUUAUUCUUUAUUUUGAUUUAUUUCAGGUCAAGGUGCAGCUUGUUUCUAAGUGAAUGAUGGAUUACAUUGUUAUUUGUUUUUGGAUUGUUUGUUUUAAUUUGGGCAUGAAAUUGGAUUUGGUUGUAAUGAUUUGUAGACUGUUGUUAUGAUAAUUGGUUCUGAGAUAUGCACACAUCGCCCGUCGCUCUCGUUUAUUAAUGAGAUAAGUCGUAACAAAGUGGUUGUACCGGAAGGUGCGGCUGGAUUGAU